UUCCGUAGGUGAACCUGCGGAAGGAUCAUUCACACGCAUCCAACCAUUUCACUGUGAACAACUUGGUGUGAGGGUCUGUCCAAGGAUGGAGAUAGUAUCGAUGCCCCUGGGCAGAACCUCGAGGGUGGUAAGCCAGAACUGGACCGUCUUCCUCUUCUGCCACUGCCACCAAUGUCUGUCAAAUCACAUCUCUCUCUGUUUUUGCAUGGGUGGCUUGCGUCACCUUGUCAAUGAAAUUACAACUUUCAGCGAUGGAUGUCUUGGCUCGAACAACGAUGAAGGGCGCAGCGAAGUGUGAUAAGCAUUGUGAAUUGCAGAAUUCCGCGAACCAAAAGAUAUUUGAACGUAUACUGCGCUUUCGGGAUAUCCCUGAAAGCAUGCCUGCUUCAGUGUCUCCAUCACUUAAUGCCGCAGAUGUGCGACCAGCUUCGGCAGGUUAAUAAUCUGCAUGGCGUGUUUGUGUGUUAGGGCGUCUCGGGGUGUCAAAACCUCUGUAGACCCUUGAUGCAUGCAGUGCAUGGCAGCCUUGCCAGCAAAUACAAUUUAAAGAUCAUCCUUGUGAUGUACUUGUUGUGUCGUUGGUGGGCUUGUCAAUCUCAUCCCUUUCGGGUUUUUUCCCAGACAUGAAGUUAGGUCAGCAAACCCGCUGAAUUUAAGCAUAUC
RNAcentral lists this ribosomal RNA (663 nucleotides) under uncultured eukaryote. RNAcentral's name for it is "eukaryotic LSU rRNA". The stretch from base 241 to 395 matches the Rfam family "5.8S ribosomal RNA". The record is from RNAcentral.